RNAcentral lists this ribosomal RNA (425 nucleotides) under uncultured bacterium. RNAcentral describes it as "partial 16S ribosomal RNA". It matches the Rfam family "Bacterial small subunit ribosomal RNA", at positions 354 to 796 of the family's 1533-position model. The record is from RNAcentral.
GUGGGGAAUAUUGGGCAAUGGGCGAAAGCCUGACCCAGCAACGCCGCGUGAAGGAAGAAGGUUUUCGGAUCGUAAACUUCUAUCCUUGGUGAAGAUAAUGACGGUAGCCGAGAAGGAAGCCCCGGCUAACUACGUGCCAGCAGCCGCGGUAAUACGUAGGGGGCAAGCGUUGUCCGGAAUGAUUGGGCGUAAAGGGCGCGUAGGCGGCCUGGUAAGUCUGGAGUGAAAGUCCUGCUUUUAAGGUGGGAAUUGCUUUGGAUACUGUCGGGCUUGAGUGCAGGAGAGGUAAGUGGAAUUCCCGGUGUAGCGGUGAAAUGCGUAGAGAUCGGGAGGAACACCAGUGGCGAAGGCGACUUACUGGACUGUAACUGACGCUGAGGCGCGAAAGUGUGGGGAGCAAACAGGAUUAGAUACCCUUGUAGUCC